AGGACGAACGCUGGCGGCGUGCUUAACACAUGCAAGUCGAGCGGAAAGGCCCUUCGGGGUACUCGAGCGGCGAACGGGUGAGUAACGACGUGAGUAAUCUGCCCCUAGCUCUGGGAUAGCUCCGGGAAACCGGGAUUAAUACCAGAUACAACCACUUUAGACAUCUCUUGUGGUGGAAAGAAUUUCGGCUAGGGAUGAACUCGCGGCCUAUCAGCUUGUUGGUGAGGUAACGGCUCACCAAGGCGACGACGGGUA
RNAcentral lists this ribosomal RNA (255 nucleotides) under uncultured bacterium. Its description in RNAcentral is "partial small subunit ribosomal RNA". It matches the Rfam family "Bacterial small subunit ribosomal RNA", at positions 26 to 285 of the family's 1533-position model. The record is from RNAcentral.